UGUUUGAUCGCAGUUCAUGUAUUAAUUUCUAUAGUUGUGGUCGGGAAAGGUGAAUUUUGCUGUUUGCUGUUUGCUGAGAUGUGCUUGCUGUGGUGCUGGUUUUGCUUCACAGAUGGUGGAUAUGAUGUUCAUGCUGGUUGCAAUCUACUGUCUUACCAUUUUUUCUUUGAUAAUGUCCUGAUUGGUAAGAGUUGACACUCACAUUUCAUUUGAGUCCUUCAUCCAUGGGGAUUUUGACUUUUAACCGUACCGUAGUUCUCAACCUUGCUGAUAUUAAAAGAUUCAGCCGACCACGGAGUUUUAGUAGCUGUGGUUGCCUAAAGAUGGAUGCAAUUCGCAUGCCUUUACAUGUGGCUGUUGCAGGCUCAUAUGAAUGCUUCCUCAGUUCAUUUGGGGUCUAACUUUCGGGUACCUCUUUCUUGCAAUGGCAGCCUAUGACGCAGCAUUUUUAGAAAUUUAUGAGUAGAUAGAAACUAUCACCAGGACAUGUUCAUUCAUGUGAAUGAUUUUUUUUUUGUUUCCCUUUGCUUUUUAAUCUUUUUUUUUUUUAAAUGGUUGUUAGACUCCUACAAUAUGGUUAAACAUGUUUUGUUUGGAUGUAGUCUUGUUAUCAGUU
This is a non-coding RNA of Corylus avellana, 616 nucleotides long. Lineage: Eukaryota; Viridiplantae; Streptophyta; Magnoliopsida; Fagales; Betulaceae. The record is from RefSeq and is a predicted model, not a curated record.